GCCGUAUUAAAAGAUAAAUAAAGAAGUAAUUAAUAAAAAAUAAGAGAGAAAGAAGUCAAAAUAGUGUGAAAGAGAGAAAAAGAAAGAGAUAAGACAUGUAAGUCAUUAAAGAGAGAGAGCGUAAAUUAUAAUUACUCUUUUGAUAUAUUUUUUUUUAUUAUUUACUUCUUCAAAAUUUUAUAUGAGAUAUAGAGUAAAUUUAUAAAAUUAAUAGGGUCAAUUUUGGCUUUUCGU
This 234-nucleotide long non-coding RNA is filed under the name Elaeis guineensis (African oil palm). RNAcentral's name for it is "long non-coding RNA (EGUI_LNC012472)". Lineage: Eukaryota; Viridiplantae; Streptophyta; Magnoliopsida; Arecales; Arecaceae. The record is from RNAcentral.